UACGAAGGGGGCUAGCGUUGUUCGGAAUCACUGGGCGUAAAGGGCGCGUAGGCGGCCUGGCAAGUCGGGGGUGAAAGCCUGUGGCUCAACCACAGAAUGGCCUUCGAUACUGCCUGGCUCGAGACCGGAAGAGGUCAGUGGAACUGCGAGUGUAGAGGUGAAAUUCGUAGAUAUUCGCAAGAACACCAGUGGCGAAGGCGGCUGACUGGUCCGGUUCUGACGCUGAGGCGCGAAAGCGUGGGGAGCAAACAGG
Molecule: ribosomal RNA, 253 nt
Filed under: uncultured bacterium
Lineage: Bacteria
Description: partial 16S ribosomal RNA
Rfam family: Bacterial small subunit ribosomal RNA
Source: RNAcentral